AAUAGAUACCCCGGUAGUCCACGCUGUAAACGUUGGACACUAGGUGUGGCGGUCUGAUCAACGACUGCCGUGCCGAAGCUAACGCAUUAAGUGUCCCGCCUGGGGAGUACGGCCGCAAGGCUAAAACUCAAAGGAAUUGACGGGUCCCCGCACAAGCGGCGGAGCAUGCGGCUUAAUUCGAUGCAACCCGAAGAACCUUACCUGGGUUUGACAUCAUGAGAAAAGCCGUGGAAACACGGUGUCCGUAAGGGCCCAUGACAGGUGGUGCAUGGCUGUCGUCAGCUCGUGUCGUGAGAUGUUGGGUUAAGUCCCGCAACGAGCGCAACCCUUGUCCUAUGUUGCCAGCGGUUCGGCCGGGGACUCAUAGGAGACUGCCGGGGGAUAACUCGGAGGAAGGUGAGGACGAUGGUCAAGUCAUCAUGCCCCUUAUAUCCAGGGCUGCACGCAUGCUACAAUGGUCGGUACAACGGGCAGCGAUCCUGCGAAGGUGAGCGAAUCCCACAAAGCCGGCCUCAGUUCGGAUUGG
RNAcentral lists this ribosomal RNA (526 nucleotides) under uncultured bacterium. RNAcentral describes it as "bacterial SSU rRNA". It matches the Rfam family "Bacterial small subunit ribosomal RNA", at positions 777 to 1301 of the family's 1533-position model. The record is from RNAcentral.